CCUAGUUCGAAGGGGUAACAAGUAUAGCUGAGUAUCUGCUGACGAGCGGCGGAGGAGUGAGUGAUGCAUAGGUCUCUGCCUGGCAGUGGGGGAUAUCCCAGAGAAAUUUGGAUUAAUACCGCAUACGCCCUACGGGGGAAAGCUGGGGACCUUCGGGCCUAGCGCUAUCAGAUGAGCCUAUGUCGGAUUAGCUUGUUGGUGAGGUAACGGCUCACCAAGGCGACGAUCCGUAGCUGGUCUGAGAGGAUGAUCAGCCACACUGGGACUGAGACACGGCCCAGACUCCUACGGGAGGCAGCAGUGGGGAAUAUUGGACAAUGGGCGCAAGCCUGAUCCAGCCAUGCCGCGUGUGUGAAGAAGGCCUUCGGGUUGUAAAGCACUUUCAGCGAGGAGGAAAGGGGUGCUGCUAAUAUCAGCGCCCUGUGACGUUACUCGCAGAAGAAGCACCGGCUAACUCCGUGCCAGCAGCGUGAGUAUAAUUAA
Molecule: ribosomal RNA, 483 nt
Filed under: uncultured Gammaproteobacteria bacterium
Lineage: Bacteria; Pseudomonadati; Pseudomonadota; Gammaproteobacteria
Description: bacterial SSU rRNA
Rfam family: Bacterial small subunit ribosomal RNA
Source: RNAcentral